Long non-coding RNA from Solanum stenotomum, 1378 nucleotides. RefSeq lists it as uncharacterized. The record is from RefSeq and is a predicted model, not a curated record. NCBI's taxonomy places the organism in Eukaryota, Viridiplantae, Streptophyta, Magnoliopsida, Solanales, Solanaceae. The transcript is spliced from 3 exons.
CAACGAAGAGAUUAAAUCCAGUCUCUAUAGUAAUGAAUAAUUGGUCCCGAAAACAGAAUUUAGUGGGUCAAUAGGCACCGCUCCUCACUAAAUUAAAAUAUAUUUCUCUUUCUUUUUGGGACAUAGUAAAAUCCCUAAACCCUAAUCUGCUCACCUUUAAGUUUCCUCACAUUGAAUACACAUCUUCUUCUUCAUCUUCAUCGACUAAAGUUGCUUCUUCCAACAUCACCAACCUCAAAAUUCUUUGAUAACGCAAGAUUAAGAAACCAAUGAAGCUAAUUUCUUUCCCGUCAUGAGUAACCCACCUUCUAGUGAUGCUCUUUCGAUUUGACGAAGAAGAUUCCAGUUGGGCUCUGCAACAACCGUAAUAAUCAACAAAAUGGGGGUUUCAGAUCAAAGGUUUGGUGAACAAGUCAAUUAUAGUUCUCGUCUAAGGAGGGACGGAUACCCAUUAAAUGUUUGCAGAACCAGUUGAUCGCGCUGAGGUUCUAUUGGUCUUAUGAUUGGCUUUGGUUUUUAAAGGCCAGGUAUUCGUAAUAAAUUACAUCUUCUGUUUCUUUUACGGUGGAAGAUUACUAUGAAAUCAUUAAAGAACCUAUGAAUUUCGGUACAAUAAGGCUAAGUUUCAUGAGGGAAUGUAUGAAAACCUCCAAAAGUUAGAGAUCUGUUUUUCCCCUAAAUUGAGCCUUUAGGUUUAUUUUCUUAUCUAGAAAAUCUUUUUCUUUUCCCUUCAAGUCAAAGUGGACUUGGAUGAAAUUCGAAGAAGUAAUAUCAAGUUGUGCCAGCCCUUCUCUUUCUAUUAUAGUUACGUUGAUUGUAGCAAAAUUUGGACCUUCAAUCGCAUACCAUGUUUGUGAAAUGCAUUAUCUACUAACACAACAAUCAAUCAUUAAUUUAAAAAAAUGUUCAUACAUAUAAUGUCUAUUUAAUUCUAAAAACAUGUAGUCAUGUUAUCUAUUUCUAGACUUGGUAGAUGUUACUAUCUUACUACUUGUUCUACGUAUGUUUUUUUGUAUGACUUAACAUAUUAGAAAGUAUAUACUCUACUUUUAUCAUUGAUAUUUUGUCCAUAAAUUUGCAGCUACAUGCUCAUCUAUAAUGAAAGAUUAUGUAUUUCUUAGAACAUUGCUUUAGAAUUGAGUGCAACGUUUAAAUUGGCAAGUUGAAAUUUAGAUCUAUUAGAUGGUCUAAACUAUGUUUAAUUUCAGUUCUCUAGUGGAAUUUUUAGUAGUUAUGAACAAUAUUUAUUAUGUCUUUGACAAGGUUUAGAUGAUUUGAUGAAUUUACAAGUCUCCGACCAAAAGCGAAGAUGAGAUUAUCAUUAUGCCGAGACAGUUUGACAAUUUUUCAAAUUUCCUAUAGUGAAUGUAAUGACUAA